GACGAACGCUGGCGGCGUGCCUAAUACAUGCAAGUCGAGCGAAGUUUUUCUGGUGCUUGCACUAGAAAAACUUAGCGGCGAACGGGUGAGUAACACGUAAAGAACCUGCCUCAUAGACUGGGACAACUAUUGGAAACGAUAGCUAAUACCGGAUAACAGUAUUUCUCGCAUGAGAGAUAUUUAAAAGUUGGUUAUGCUAACACUAUGAGAUGGCUUUGCGGUGCAUUAGCUAGUUGGUGGGGUAAGGCCCACCAAGGCGACGAUGCAUAGCCGACCUGAGAGGGUGAUCGGCCACACUGGGACUGAGACACGGCCCAGACUCCUACGGGAGGCAGCAGUAGGGAAUCUUCCGCAAUGGGCGAAAGCCUGACGGAGCAACGCCGCGUGAGUGAAGAAGGAUUUCGGUUCGUAAAGCUCUGUUGUUAGGGAAGAAUGGAUAUGUAGUAACUAUACAUGUAAGAGACGGUACCUAACCAGAAAGCCACGGCUAACUACGUG
RNAcentral lists this ribosomal RNA (498 nucleotides) under uncultured bacterium. RNAcentral describes it as "partial 16S ribosomal RNA". It matches the Rfam family "Bacterial small subunit ribosomal RNA", at positions 28 to 507 of the family's 1533-position model. The record is from RNAcentral.